AUAGUUACUUGGCAGGGGAGAUACCAUGAUCACGAAGGUGGUUUUCUUAGGGUGAGGCUUAUCCAUUGCACUCCGGAUGUGCUGACCCCUGCGAUUUCCCCAAAUGUGGGAAACUUGACUGCAUAAUUUGUGGUAGUGGGGGACUGCGUUCGCACUUUCCCCUA
This 164-nucleotide small nuclear RNA is filed under the name Saimiri boliviensis boliviensis (Bolivian squirrel monkey). Its description in RNAcentral is "U1 spliceosomal RNA (ENSSBOG00000017602.1)". It matches the Rfam family "U1 spliceosomal RNA". From Rfam's summary of the family: U1 is a small nuclear RNA (snRNA) component of the spliceosome (involved in pre-mRNA splicing). Lineage: Eukaryota; Metazoa; Chordata; Mammalia; Primates; Cebidae. The record is from Rfam by way of RNAcentral.